This 523-nucleotide ribosomal RNA is filed under the name Bacillus subtilis. RNAcentral's name for it is "bacterial SSU rRNA". It matches the Rfam family "Bacterial small subunit ribosomal RNA", at positions 73 to 578 of the family's 1533-position model. The record is from RNAcentral. Lineage: Bacteria; Bacillati; Bacillota; Bacilli; Caryophanales; Bacillaceae.
GUUUCCUUCGGGAAACCAUUAGCUUAGCGGCGGACGGGUGAGUAAUACGUAGGUAACCUGCCCUUAAGACUGGGAUAACUCACGGAAACGUGGGCUAAUACCGGAUAGUCGAUUUCCUCGCAUGAGGGAAUCGGGAAAGGCGGAGCAAUCUGCCACUUAUGGAUGGACCUACGGCGCAUUAGCUAGUUGGUGGGGUAACGGCUCACCAAGGCGACGAUGCGUAGCCGACCUGAGAGGGUGAUCGGCCACACUGGGACUGAGACACGGCCCAGACUCCUACGGGAGGCAGCAGUAGGGAAUCUUCCGCAAUGGACGCAAGUCUGACGGAGCAACGCCGCGUGAGUGAUGAAGGUUUUCGGAUCGUAAAGCUCUGUUGCCAGGGAAGAACGCUAUGGAGAGUAACUGUUCCAUAGGUGACGGUACCUGAGAAGAAAGCCCCGGCUAACUACGUGCCAGCAGCCGCGGUAAUACGUAGGGGGCAAGCGUUGUCCGGAAUUAUUGGGCGUAAAGCGCGCGCAGGCGG